This 72-nucleotide transfer RNA is filed under the name Cyphia tortilis. RNAcentral describes it as "tRNA-Gln". It matches the Rfam family "tRNA". Rfam says of the family: Transfer RNA (tRNA) molecules are approximately 80 nucleotides in length. Their secondary structure includes four short double-helical elements and three loops (D, anti-codon, and T loops). Lineage: Eukaryota; Viridiplantae; Streptophyta; Magnoliopsida; Asterales; Campanulaceae. The record is from RNAcentral.
CGGGGCGUGGCCGAGCCGGUAAGGCAACGGGCAUUGAUACCCAAUGCGGAGGUUCGAGUCCUUCCGCCCCAA